AUUGAACGCUGGCGGCAUGCCUUACACAUGCAAGUCGAACGGCAGCACGGGAGCAAUCCUGGUGGCGAGUGGCGAACGGGUGAGUAAUAUAUCGGAACGUGCCCAGUCGUGGGGAUAACGUAGCGAAAGCUACGCUAAUACCGCAUACGAUCUAUGGAUGAAAGCGGGGGAUCGCAAGACCUCGCGCGAUUGGAGCGGCCGAUAUCAGAUUAGGUAGUUGGUGAGGUAAAGGCUCACCAAGCCGACGAUCUGUAGCUGGUCUGAGAGGACGACCAGCCACACUGGGACUGAGACACGGUCCAGACUCCUACGGGAGGCAGCAGUGGGGAAUAUUGGACAAUGGGCGAAAGCCUGAUCCAGCCAUGCCGCGUGUGUGAAGAAGGUCUUCGGAUUGUAAGCACUUUAAGUUGGGAGGAAGGGUAGUAACCUAAUACGUUGCUACUUUGACGUUACCGACUAGAAUAAGCACCGGCUAACUU
Molecule: ribosomal RNA, 479 nt
Filed under: uncultured bacterium
Lineage: Bacteria
Description: bacterial SSU rRNA
Rfam family: Bacterial small subunit ribosomal RNA
Source: RNAcentral